GAGAAUAUGGUGGAAAGGAUAGACACGUUGUGCUAAAGUAGGUUAAGUCCGGCACAAUUCCUUAGCUAGGAGUGAGGGUUCAACUCCCUCUAUUCUCA
This 98-nucleotide transfer RNA is filed under the name Bacteriophage sp. Its description in RNAcentral is "tRNA-Phe". It matches the Rfam family "tRNA". From Rfam's summary of the family: Transfer RNA (tRNA) molecules are approximately 80 nucleotides in length. The record is from RNAcentral.